CCAGGUAACUCAUCUAUAUAUAAGCUCUCUCCUGCCAUACCAACGAAAACAACAAACCAUUCGUGAUCGAAGAGCUACAAUGGAAACGACCAACAAAUUUGAAGAUGAAGGUGCUCAGGCUCUUCAAGAAACGAUCGACAAAUUUGAAGAUGACGGUGAUCAGUAUCCUCAAGAAUCGAUCAGGAUCAAGAAGCGACCACCACGGUGCCAUGAUGAUGAUGAGGGCGGGUGUGUUCAGGAGAAAAAGAAGCGAAUGAUGAAGAAGAUGAUGGAGAAGGCAAGUUGCCCAUCUCCCCAUGCAACACCAGAGCUCCCUGUCAUCCUCAGGAAUCGGAUCAGGGCUCUGGGGGGUUCUGAUGUCACUUUUGUAAUCCAGAAGCCUCUCUUCAAGACUGAUGUGAGUUCCGGUCACAACCGUCUCUCCAUACCGUUGAACCAGGUACAACAAAGUUUCCUCACACUUGAAGAGAGCGAGAGGUUGAACUCGGGAGGAAACGGAAAAAAAUGUGCAGCUAUGGAAGUGAUGUUGAUUGAGCCCUCCCUUCAUCGGGAAACCAUCAGUCUGAGGAAGUGGAACAUGAAGAAAGCUUCCGGAAAUUCUACCUCAAUGUAUGUGUUGGUGACUAAUUGGAAAUCGGUUACGGAAAGGAAUAGCAUGAAGGAAGAUGAAACGGUGCAGCUCUGGUCUUUUCGAAUCAAGUCCAAGUUGGGUUUCGCUCUUGUAAAGAGAAGACUACAAGAUGAUCCUAGGAAUCGUUCAUUAAGGGGCAUCCUGGAUAGCUGAUAUGGAUAUCAGGGACAGAUAGGGUUAUAGGAAUGAACUUUGAAGAGGAUGGUGAAGCAUCCGUGGUGGAGAUUGAUGAUGAAUCUAUUACUGGAGAAGAGAAGUUCUGAUACCAUGUCAGAGAAAUCCGUAGAAUGAAAGAACUUUCUGAAGAAUGGAUCUAUCACUGCGCCUACCAUCUAACCACAUCAAUAGUCUCCGGCGAUUCUGAGUCUUCCCUUUGCCCUGUCCUUGCUGGGCUGGGUGGCUGGAGUUUUCUUCCUCACCAUGACAGUUCCUACGACCUUCUCUCGCUGGUCUUGGACCACCACGCUCAGCGGGGCAAUCACCAGCUUCGUUUCCAGGACAUGGCUACAGAUAUUUUAGGUUCAGGACGGGGAAGGUAUUUAGUGGGUCCAAUUCAAUUUUGGUCUAUGUUAUGCUACAGUCAUCCCCUGUAUUCUCGUUCUGAGGUUGGGCAUGUUCUUUCAUUGAACAUUUUCAUCACAACUCAAAUUAUCUGGAAUGAUUUCCUUCUUGCGUUUUGGGGGCAGUUUAUUUACUUGCUGUCAAGACCAAAUGGGAGCAUGCAGCUUUGCGAAUUUGUGAUUAUUUCAGGGUGCAAAUUCCGUCCUUCCACUCCUUAAGGCACAUGAACCUUGUCUCUCAAAUCCUCUGCCUCUCCUACACUGCUUCCCACUGCUGGUUCCAUAUACAUCGCCUAAAAAGUUGUGAGCCUGAAUUCCUUGUGGCCACACCUGAGAGACUUUUGGAGCUUAUUUCCUUGAAGGCCAUUGACAUAUCUGGUGUCUCCUUAUUGGUUGUUGAUGGACUGGACACUCUCUGUAAAGGAGGCUACCUUGAUAUGAUUAAAUCUAUUAGGCAGUCAAUUUCUGGAAAUCCCCAUGCGGUUGUUUUCAGUGAACGCUCAAGCUGUACCUCUGUUCCAGGUGUAGAAGAUCUCCUUAGAGGAUCAUACUGUAGAUUACCUCUUAAAGGUUCAAUUAAUAAUCAAAGUGCUUGCAUUGCUCAGUCUAUACAUGCGUGAAGAAAAACUACUAAAGGUUAUAGGAAUGAACUUUGAAGAGGAUGGUGAAGCAUCCAUGGUGGAGAUUGAUGAUGAAUCCAUUACUGGAGAAGAGAAGCUCUGAUACCAUGUCAGAGAAAUCCGUAGAAUGAAAGAACUUUCUGAAGAAUGUUUUGUUGUUACUACUCUACCAGGAUUAUUGCCUACAGUUUCGGUAGUCAAGAUCUAGCACUAACUACUCAGUUGUAACAAGAAGCUAACUUCU
Vitis riparia (riverbank grape) is the source of this 2055-nucleotide RNA transcript. RefSeq lists it as uncharacterized. The transcript has 7 exons. Lineage: Eukaryota; Viridiplantae; Streptophyta; Magnoliopsida; Vitales; Vitaceae. The record is from RefSeq and is a predicted model, not a curated record.